ACCCACUGAGAUGCUGGGGCUCAGACAUCCCAGGCAAGAGGAAGUGGGCACCUCCACUCACACCAGCCAGUAGGAAGUGGGCAUUCCUGAGCUGGAAGGCCCUUGGGCCCACUGGGGUCAAAAAGUACCCAGGUUAGUAAGAAGA
RNAcentral lists this long non-coding RNA (145 nucleotides) under Chinchilla lanigera (long-tailed chinchilla). Its description in RNAcentral is "TTC28 antisense RNA 1 conserved region 3 (ENSCLAG00000020435.1)". It matches the Rfam family "TTC28 antisense RNA 1 conserved region 3". Lineage: Eukaryota; Metazoa; Chordata; Mammalia; Rodentia; Chinchillidae. The record is from RNAcentral.